CCCCUAGAUGUUCUGGGCCGCACGCGCGCUACACUGAACAGUUCAACAAGUCUUAACCUUGGCCGAUAGGUCUGGGUAAUCUUUGAACGCUGUUCGUGAUUGGGAUAGACCUUUGCAAUUAUGGGUCUUCAACGAGGAAUUCCUAGUAAACGCAAGUCAUCAGCUUGCAUUGAUUACGUCCCUGCCCUUUGUACACACCGCCUGUCGCACCUACCGAUUGAAUGGUCCGGUGAAAUCUCGGGACGGCGGCUCGGUCGCUUGCGUCCGACUGCUGAAACUUGAUUAAACCAUAUCAUUUAGAGGAAGGUGAAGUCGUAACA
RNAcentral lists this ribosomal RNA (320 nucleotides) under uncultured eukaryote. RNAcentral describes it as "partial 18S ribosomal RNA". It matches the Rfam family "Eukaryotic small subunit ribosomal RNA", at positions 1470 to 1796 of the family's 1831-position model. The record is from RNAcentral.